ACAAUGAGAACAUAUGGUCACAGGGAGGGGAGUAUCACACACUGAGGCCUGUCGGGGGCUGGGGGGCAAGGGGAAGGAUAGCAUUAGGAGAAAUAUCUAAUGUAGAUUACGAUGGGUGCCCUAUCAAGUUUCUAAAUCACAUUAGGAAAAGCAUUUUACUGCCUUAUCUACCCUUUAUCCCAACACUUAGCACAAUGUCUUCCAAAGGGCAGUGGCUCAAUA
Molecule: long non-coding RNA, 222 nt
Filed under: Pan troglodytes (chimpanzee)
Lineage: Eukaryota; Metazoa; Chordata; Mammalia; Primates; Hominidae
Description: long non-coding RNA NONPTRT012421
Source: RNAcentral